AAAUGAAAAUUUUCUCCAUUGUACCUUAUUCUAAAAAUUACAAAUUUCUGUAGCUCUAAAGUAUAAAACUUAGUAUACUAACCAUGUAUCAAGGGAGGAUGAAGUUUCUAAUCUUUAGAACACGUGACUGAGUGAAAUCCCCAUAAAAUGGUCUUCAAUCCGAAAGCACCGCCCCUAUGGCGCCAUGGAUAGGAUGAAACUCGAGCUGUGGUGAAUGGCUCGGGC
Molecule: long non-coding RNA, 225 nt
Filed under: Setaria viridis
Lineage: Eukaryota; Viridiplantae; Streptophyta; Magnoliopsida; Poales; Poaceae
Description: long non-coding RNA (SVIR_LNC004261)
Source: RNAcentral